This is a non-coding RNA of Corylus avellana, 592 nucleotides long. The record is from RefSeq and is a predicted model, not a curated record. Lineage: Eukaryota; Viridiplantae; Streptophyta; Magnoliopsida; Fagales; Betulaceae.
CACUCCGGCGAGGUCUUUGAUCGGCCACCGGCGAAGUUGUCUCUUUGUCUCUCUCUCUCUCUCUCUCUCUCAGUUUAGUUUAUUUGCGUUUGAAGGCUGACAUAUUCUCUGUGAUUGUGUAGGCACAGAGUGAUUGUAUGCAAUAGGCCAAUACCAGGUUCAUCGAUAAGCCCCUCCUCUCAUGGUCCGCUUCCGAUGUCGAAGAGUUCAUUGCUUUAGGCCCUGUUCACGGACCCACUGAAGCUAAGCUCGCUAGAGAGAAGACAAAUUUGACACAAGCUGGACAGGUCUCAUAUUUUUGCUGUGAACAUGUGCCUUAUAGAGUAUGGUUUGAAGGGCAGCAGGGGAAUUUUUUUGAAGACUAAUUAAUCUCAAUAACUACCAAGUGUUACCAGGAUAAGAAGCUUUUCUUCUCUGUUUCUAAUGAAAUUCUUAUUUGUUGACACUUAUUUUCUGCAUAUGUACUUGCAUAGCUAUUUUUCUUUAGGUAUAGUACGACUUGGAGAAAAAUAGAAAUUCAAAAUACAAAUCUUUCUAGACCUGUCACAUAGAAACAAUUGAGAUUAUAAUGUGAUCUCCUGCACAGUUUUUA